RNAcentral lists this transfer RNA (54 nucleotides) under Strongyloides stercoralis. Its description in RNAcentral is "transfer RNA-Asn". The record is from RNAcentral. Lineage: Eukaryota; Metazoa; Nematoda; Chromadorea; Rhabditida; Strongyloididae.
UGAGGAUUAUUUUAAUUUAGAAUAUUUAGCUGUUAACUAAAAGGUUAUCUUCAU